Molecule: long non-coding RNA, 301 nt
Organism: Amphimedon queenslandica
Lineage: Eukaryota; Metazoa; Porifera; Demospongiae; Haplosclerida; Niphatidae
Exons: 3
Source: RefSeq, a predicted model, not a curated record
AUUCCAUUGUAUUAUUAUAUAUAGAGUUAUUGCAUGAAUUCAUCAUGCUCUAGGAGACAGUAAACUAGCAAUAUCAUUUCAGCACAAAACUGUCAUUAUGUAUGAGAGACUGCUAGGAGUGGACCACUGCAGCUCUAUAUCAGCCUAUUUCCAUUUGGCUUAGUAUUGCUGUGGGGCUGAGAGGAAUGUUGUGGCGUUGAGAUUACUGUAUAGAGUUAUGUAUCUAAUAAUGUUAACACUUGGUGAGGAUCAUCCUGAAAUGUCUAAUGUUGAUGUAAGUAUUGUUUUAUCAAUGUUCUCU